CCUCAUGCGUUUUAGGUCAAUUGGGAUUAUCAAAAUUAUUUAUAUUUGCCAAAUGCCGGAAUAAUGAGAGAGAGAGUUUUUUUUAAGGCAUUUUUAUUACUUUCUGCAAAGUCAAAAGUUUACAUACACAAGGAUUACUAUGCCUUUAAACAAUUUGGGACAGCCCAUAUGAUGAUGUCAUGUCUUUGGAAGCUUAGAGACACACCUGUGGCUGUAUUUUAAUGCACACCAGAAACACACUGCUCCUGUGUGUAACAUCAUGGGAAAGUCUAAAGAAAUCAGCCAAGAUAUCAGGAAGAGCAUUGCGGACUUGCACAAGUCUGGAACAUUCUUGGGUGCAAUUUCCAGAUACGUGCAGGCGCCUCAUUCAUCGGUACAAACAACUAUACACAAGUAUAAACAAGAUGGAAAUCGCUCAGGAAGGAGACGGGUUCUGUGUCUUAAAGAUGAACGUCCUUUGGUCUGACAUGUGCAUAUCAACCCAAGAACAAAAGCAAAAGACCUUGUGAAGAUGCUGGUGGCAGAUGAUAUUAACCAUAAAGACGUGACAUCAACUAUCUACUAUAUACCAUCAAAGGAUAAUGGGAUGCAUAUGAAUGAAGUUCCCCACGCACUAGGAGUUAAUAGCGGACAAACAAGAUACCUGUGAUACUAUCAAUGAAUAUCGCCAACAACACUUUGCCAAUAUUAGCAAUUUGAUGAACCCGCACCUCUUUGUUGUCCUAU
Hyla sarda is the source of this 726-nucleotide long non-coding RNA. RefSeq lists it as uncharacterized. Lineage: Eukaryota; Metazoa; Chordata; Amphibia; Anura; Hylidae. The transcript is spliced from 3 exons. The record is from RefSeq and is a predicted model, not a curated record.